Molecule: non-coding RNA, 4024 nt
Organism: Chlorocebus sabaeus (green monkey)
Lineage: Eukaryota; Metazoa; Chordata; Mammalia; Primates; Cercopithecidae
Source: RefSeq, a predicted model, not a curated record
CUAGUCCUGAACUCCUGACCUCAGGUGGUCCACCUGCCUCAGCCUCCCAAAGUGCUGGGAUUACAAGCAUGAGCUGCCGUGCCCAGCCACUAACAUUGCCUUUAAACAUUCAGUAUUCCUUAGUCAGUAUUACUUCCUUCCUAUCUUUUGAAGAUAUACUUCCCAUUUUUAUGUUGAGGUUUUUAUCCUUCAUAUUUCCAACAUCUCUAAGGUUCCCUUGAACUCUGAAAUUCAGUGACUCAGAAGCCUUGGAUGAAAACUAAGAUUCUUUUUUUCCCCUAGCCCUUUAGCAACAUCUAGUGGGUAUUUAGAGACAGGACAAGACAAACUUUUUCCUACAUAAGGAUCAACCGUAUAGAUGGCAAAUUUGACUUAGCAAAAAAAAAAAAAAAAAUAGCCUUAAGUCUUCAAACAAAAUCUCUCCUGUGAUUAAGUAAUUUGCUACAUGCAUGGGUGUGUAUGUAAACACUUAAGAUAAGUCCAGCUGACAUUUCCUCAUUUAGCCUGCUGUAAACAUAGACAAGAGUUGUUACUACAUUAGUUGUUACUACAUUACAUCAUGUAGAACCUCAUGAAAUGUCUGAAGCAAGAGUACCAGUACAGUGUGUAAACCUCCAAAAGCCAAAAGGAAGAACUCGCGUAGAAUGGCAUCUUUCUGGAACAGAAGUCUCUAGGCAUAGAAGCAGAGAGUAACAGAGGAGAGAGAGCAGGAGGGGUGGGUUAGGGAGGGAGCACAAGAAAAGAAUAAAGCAAAAUCACUGGGAAAGAUAGAUUUAUAGAAUCCAGAGUUCUUAUCCUAAGAUAACUGCAGCCCAGUCAUUGCUCACUUAACCAAAAGUAGGUUUCUCUUCAUCCUUCAAGCCUGCUCCCCCAAAGAACUUUGCCAUCUUUCCCUUUGACUUGCUGCCUUACCUAUCUCAUCUCACUUUCACUGGAGGUUCUGGUCCUAGGUAGAUGACGGCUGAUAACUGAUGACUGAGAGAAAAGAAGCUCCUAACUUCUGUCUAUAGAAGUAAAUAAGGAAACUAUGACUGCAACCUCUCCUAUUCCCACCAAAACUUGAGUCCUAACAAAAGCAGCUCUUUUCCUAGAAAGCUGGUAACACAUUCCUAAAAUUAGUUUGCAUUCUGACCUUUACAACAUAGGUGGAGACUCUGUCAACAUUAUCCAGUUAUAAGAAGGGGAUGGCCUGAGAGUCAGACACCCUGGGCUCUUUAGCCUCAUUACUUUUUAACCCUAUUAUCAUAGACACUUUAUCUAAUCUCUCUGUGUCUCAAUUUCUCUAUCUACAAAUUAGAUAUGAUUAAUCAUAUCCUUGCAAUUUUCAUAGACAGUUCUCCAUGAUCAAUUAACAUUUAUGAAAAUGCUUUCCCCAUAGAAAAAAAUCCAUGAAGCCAAGGUAAUAGUAUCAGCAUUCUCAUGAACACCUAUGAAACAAGUACCUGUUUAUGGCUAUCAACAUAUGGUGCUGGGCUGAGCUCCACACAAGUUAGGUAAACCCAGUUUUGCAAUCUAGGACUAUGUUGUUCCAAUUUGGCUUAUGACAGGAGAACAUAGAACAUUGUGGAGGAAUUUUUGAGGCAGUAUGUUGGGGAGUCAGCAAAUGUGAGUUAGGGGAAAGGAGGACUUGUCCUAUCAGAUAUUAAAAUACAUUUUAAAGCUCUGUUGGUUAAAAUAUCAUGAUAUACUGGAUCAGGGAUAGACAGAUAGCUCACUGAAAGGUAAUGGGGACCCCAUAACAGAUCUAUACAUGUAUGAAAUGUAUGAAAAUGCUUGGCAAUGUAGAUCAAUAGGGAAAGGAGGAAAUAUUUAAGACACAAUGUUGGAACCAUUAGUUAUUUGUGUAUGAAAAAUUGAUUCUGGAUCCAUACCUCAAACUGCACACAAACUCAAUUCCAGAUGGAAUGAAAAAGCCAAAUUUUUUUUUUAAAUUUGGAAGAAAAUACAAAAUAUCUUUAUAUAAUCUCAAGAUAGAGAAGGAUUUCAUAAACAAGACACAAAAAACAAAAUUCAUGAAGAAAUGAUUGAUAAGCUUUGCUCCAUAGAAAUUAAGGAAACAUGUAAUUUUCUUGUAAAAUACAGCAUGACCCAUAUGCAGAAAAUCCUCAAAUUAGCCUCCUCAGCCUUUUAUAACUAAGCAGAAUAAAGAGGAAAGGGCUAAGGAGAAAGAAACACACAAGGACAAGAGGCAGGCUCUAGCUUUGGCUGCUUUACAAGCCCUCAGCCCCCUCCAGCUUGCUCUAAGGACACUCCUUCAGGUAAUUGCUACUGGUGCAGAAGGCCAGGCCAUUGAAAAGUAAACUGCCGUAAUAAAAUAAAUGGGAAAAAGCCCCACACCGUUUCCCCUCAAUCUGCCAGAAGCUUGGCCACUGGAAACAGGACUGCCCUGAGGGCUAAAGGGACUCUGGGACAGUAUCCCAAUCCUGAUGGUCUUGAGCUAAAGGGGCUCUCUGCUCCAGCUGGCUUUCAAAUCAGACACUGUCAUCAACAGGACAAAGCCAAAGGCACUCUGGAGAGGACAAAUGAAAUUAUAAAUUUCCCUUUUGAGUUCAAACACUGCCUACUCUGCACUAAUCUUCCCUGAGCAACUGUCCUCCAAAUCCUGCUGGGUGAUGAAGGCAAAUGGCAUCCCCUCCCUCCAAAAAGAAAAAAUUCACAUCCCUUUAUAUUACUUAAGGGACCAAUGGCCAUUCUCCCACCAGUUUCUGAUAACUAAAUACCUUACACCCUUUUAGGGCAAAAAUAUGCUUUCCAAGAUAGGUGCCUGCUUAAUAUUUACCCAACUUCUGAAUUCAUCUCUCCCUCUAAUAGCCCUGUUUCUCCUGGGAAAACUGCCUAAAUUUUUAACCAAUAAUUUCAACGUAAACAGCUCUACUUCAAGGGUUUAAAAUAGCCCACACUUAUUCAGACAACCCCUAAUAAAAACAUAACUGAAUAAUCUCUUGUGGGAAGAUAACUUCUACAGUAUGUAGAAAACCUCCUCAUUUGCUCCCCCUUCACAGAACUUGCUCAGCAACGUGCAGUACAAAUCUUAACUUCCUAACAAAAGGAAAAUGAUUUUUGUCUAAUUCAAAGGUUAUUUAAAGGUUAUAUAUAAAACAAGGUAAAAGGAACCAGGAAAUAAAAGAGACGUAAGUAAGGUUAUAAAGGCAAAGAGGUAUUUUCGAUAAGGAAGGUUAUAAAGUAAAGAAAUUUUAUAUGAGAAAAUAUAUUGUAUGGCAAAUUCUUGUCGAAAAAUAAAAUAAGUUUUUUUUAAAGAAAGAGGUGGGCAACCCCCUUUGGGUUCCCUCCCAUUUUAUGGAAGUUCUGUUUUCUCUCUAUUAAAUCUUGCAAUCGCGCACUCUUCUGGUCCAUGUUUGUUAUGAGCUGAGCUUUCGCUUGCCAUCCACCACCACUGUUUGCUGCCGUCACAGACCCACCGCUGACUUCCACCCCUCCAGAUCUGGCAGGGUGUCCGCUGCGCUCCUGAUCCAGCAAGGUGCCCAUUGCCGCCCCUGACUGGGCUAAAGGCUUGCCAUUGUUCCUGCAUGGCUAAGUGCCCCGGUUCUUCCUAAUCAGGCUGAACACUAGUCAAUGGGUUCCACGGUUCUCUUCUGUGACCCAUGGCUUCUAAGAGAGCUAUAACACUCACCGCAUGGCCCAAGAUUCCAUUCCUUGGAAUCCGUGAGGCCAAGAAUCCCAGGUCAGAGAACAAGACGCUUGCUGCCAUUUUGAGAGCAGCUGCCACCAUCUUGGGAGCUCUAAGAAAAAGGACCCCCCGCCUCGCCUGCUGCCACCGGUAACGUUUUGGCAACCACGAAGGGACCUCCAAAGUGUUUGUCUCUUCCAGAAUCGAAGCUGUAAAACUACAAAUUGUUCUUCAAAUGGGGCCCCAUAUGCAGUCCACGAUGAAGUUCUACCACGGACCCCUGGACCAGCCUGCUAGCCCAUGCUCCAAUGUUGAUGACAUCAAAGGCACCCCUCCUGAGGAUAUCUCAACUGCACAACCCCUACUGUGCCCCAAUUCAGCAGGAAACAGUUAGAG